CAGCAUUCGGGGGGAUUAUCUUUAAUAUUAUUAUUCAUACUUGGCACAAACUCCUUACAUUUCCACCCGGGAGCAAGGUGCCCGCCGUUUAUUAUCCCCCCACGUCGGAUCGCCACUACCCCGGUUACUAGGGACGCUCCGUCAUUUCGGCAUCACGUGACGGGUCAAGCCCUCACGACAUCCCGGGUAUAAAACGAGAGAGCUGCCUUCGGCUCGUUGCUCGACUCGCAACUUUCAAAAAAACAACCAAAGGUUGAUAAUACUUUGUGUGACUUUGUACUCACGACCCACAUCAUAAAGCACCAUGCGUGAGAUCGUCCACAUUCAGGCCGGACAGUGCGGUAACCAGAUCGGUGCCAAGUUCUGGGAGGUGAUCUCAGACGAGCACGGCAUUGACCCCACCGGCACCUACCACGGAGACAGCGACCUCCAGCUCGAGAGGAUCAACGUCUACUACAAUGAGGCCACAGGCGGCAAAUACGUGCCCCGCGCCAUCCUGGUGGAUCUGGAGCCCGGAACCAUGGACAGUGUCCGCUCCGGACCCUUCGGCCAGAUCUUCAGACCCGACAACUUCGUGUUCGGACAGUCUGGAGCUGGAAACAACUGGGCCAAGGGCCACUACACAGAAGGCGCCGAGCUGGUCGACUCUGUCCUCGACGUGGUGAGGAAGGAGGCUGAGUCCUGUGACUGUCUCCAGGGCUUCCAGCUGACCCACUCUCUGGGUGGCGGCACCGGCUCUGGCAUGGGAACCCUGCUCAUCUCCAAGAUCCGUGAGGAAUACCCCGACAGGAUCAUGAACACCUUCUCCGUCGUGCCAUCCCCCAAGGUAAGUCGUCCGAAUGUGCCUGUUUGUUUGUCGCUUUGUUUGUCUGAAUGAAUAGAAAACCAUGAUCGCCGAUAUUAAUUAUUUCUUUUUGUACCUGACUAUUGUCACCUUCGUGCACAUUCCAGAACCCUGAAACUGACCACCCCCACAUACGGUGACUUGAACCAUCUGGUCAGCGCCACCAUGUCCGGUGUCACCACCUGCCUCCGCUUCCCCGGCCAGCUGAACGCUGACUUGAGGAAACUGGCUGUCAACAUGGUGCCCUUCCCACGUCUGCAUUUCUUCAUGCCCGGAUUCGCCCCACUGACCUCUCGUGGUAGCCAGCAGUACAGAGCUCUGACUGUCCCCGAGCUGACCCAGCAGAUGUUCGACGCCAAGAACAUGAUGGCUGCCUGCGACCCACGUCACGGCCGCUACCUCACCGUGGCCGCCAUGUUCCGUGGCCGUAUGUCCAUGAAGGAGGUGGAUGAGCAGAUGCUCAACGUGCAGAACAAGAACUCCUCCUACUUCGUUGAAUGGAUCCCCAACAACGUGAAGACCGCCGUCUGUGACAUUCCUCCUCGUGGCCUCAAGAUGUCCGCCACCUUCGUCGGCAACAGCACCGCCAUCCAGGAGCUGUUCAAGCGUAUCUCAGAGCAGUUCACUGCUAUGUUCAGGCGCAAGGCUUUCCUCCAUUGGUACACUGGCGAGGGCAUGGAUGAGAUGGAGUUCACUGAAGCUGAGUCCAACAUGAACGACUUGGUCUCUGAGUACCAGCAGUACCAGGACGCCACCGCCGAGGAGGAGGGAGAGUUCGACGAGGAGGAGGGUGAGGAGGAGGCCUAAAUUAGGUCAACUUCGCCACACCGCACGUCUGAAAGACCUCGUUCCAGAACUGAUUGCGUUGUUCCACGCAUGCGCAAGUUGGGUCCGGAAGUUGCGUCUCAAAAACUUUUGCCCCACUGAAGGCGUCAGAAGGCGAGAAAACUUAAGCUAUAGCGUGGUUCCAAGCCGAAGGAUGAGACCAGGAUUUCGGAAGAACAUCGCCUUUGUGUUGUUGAAAACGCCUUAUGAAUCGUCUGCUGUUGUCUUCUGUGGGGCAUACUCAGUGAUUUUAUUCUUUCGAAUCAGUUGAUUUGACCUCCCCCUCGAACAUUGAGUGCCAACAUGUAGCCGACCAGAUUUUUGUUAUACAAGUCGUACUAUGAGGAAACCGGGGACAACUUAACUGCUAUUUGCGGGAAUAAAUUCACAACCGAUCACAAAA
Molecule: RNA transcript, 2072 nt
Organism: Aplysia californica (California sea hare)
Lineage: Eukaryota; Metazoa; Mollusca; Gastropoda; Aplysiida; Aplysiidae
Gene name: tubulin beta-4B chain-like
Exons: 9
Source: RefSeq, a predicted model, not a curated record